GUGAGCCUGGAGCCCCACCCACUGGGUCCCACUCUCUCAGAACCGUCAUUAAAUCCUGCCGGGGGUGGCGAGUGGGAGUAGGGAGGUGCUCCUUGGUGCCACUUUGCAGCCACUAAGAUGUCCUCUCUGAGCUUUUCUGAGAAGGCAGCUCCCGCAGUCAGAGGGAUGGGGCUUGCCGGCAGCCAUUGCUGCUGCCUGGAGGAUGGGUCUCUGAGGGGCCAGAGGGCCCUGGGCAGGUGCUGAGGGCCUGUGGGUAGUGGGUCAGGCUCUGCAGGACACAGUGCUAUGAGUUACAGGACUUCUGCGUGCCAAGGCACUGGGCCAGAUCGCCCCUUCCCCAUUUGUGCCCCUUUGUGACCCUCUCUGUCCCAAUCUCUGGUCACCUCCAGGAAGAGAACCUGGAAAUUCUGCUUCGAUGGCUGAAGUAGAUGUCACUGAACUCCCAAUGGUCAAAAGUGAGCAACACUGUACAGUUUACAAAGCAGUUUCACAUCCAUUCCCUGGUUUGAUUUGAUCUUUGCAACUGUUGGUAAGGAUAGCGCUGUGGCUAAUCCCUGCACCCCCAACUGCCUGGAGAGAAGAGGAAGUCGAGCAUCAGGAGUUGCGUAAAUUGCCCUCAGUGGCGAGAGGAGGCCGGACUCCAUUUCCAGUGCCUUCCGGGCACGCUUGGCCUUUCCCCAGCCUCUCCCCACCCGGACUCUUCAUCUCGCUGAUUGAGAGACUGAGGCCCAGAAGACUCUUGCCCAAGAACACACAGCUGAUGAGAAAACUGAGGCCACUUGCCCUCCAUUAUGCAGCUGGUAAGUGGUAGAGCCAGGGCCACCCAGUUGGCUUCACCAUCAUGCAGUUUGUCCUUGAGGAAGAGGAUGCUGCUGGCCCAGUGGUGGAGUCCCUCUAGCCUGCUUCCUCUAGGACAUAGAACCUGGAAAUUCUGCUUUGGUGGCUGAAGCAGAUGUCACUGACUUCCUAAUGGUACUCCACAGCCAAGUGAGCAGCACUUUGCAACUUUCAAGGACGAGGGAGUCCACGGUCUGGCCUUUUGGGGGCGCCAGCCAAGGGUGUCCGACUCCCUCUUUUGCUCCGCCAUCUCCCUGCAGGGGCGCAGGCGGGCAGAAGUGGAGCCUGAUUCCCGCCGCCCUCCGCGGCAGCUCAUUUUUCAUUCAUUUUCUUUAAAUGCUUCUUGCUCUGUUUUUAAAUCUAAUUUUUCAGCUUCUUUUUUUAUCUUCACUCAAGUUGCUUUAAUGAAACGAAAACGUGUCUGUUUCCCUCUGCUGGAGCUGCCUGGGGAAUUUCAACAUAAAACAAACAAGUUGGCUUUUAAAAUUAAAAUUUUAUGGGUGGCAUUUCCUCAUUUAAUGGGAGGCACAAAAGGCUGGAGCAAAACCAGUUAACACGGGGGUGGGACUCGGUGUUCAGCAAAAUUAAGCAGCAGGAGCACAGUGUGCUGGGAGCCGCUAGCUCCGGGGGGCUGGGCGAGAUGCGCAGACAGGCGACGUGGAGGGCGGCGGCCGCCCAGCACCACUGUGCACCCCGGACGGCCCCGCACACGUUUACAUGCAGCCCUCACCACCCCAUCCCCUGCCCCCAGGACCCCAUGCCCAGGUGCCUGUGUGCACACCUGCUCUGUACAUUCAGAUGGCAGGCGAUUGUGUGGAUGAGCAAACAGGGGUAGGGAAUGGCUGCUUUGGGGUGCUGGACACCGAGCCUGGAGAGGUAUCCGUGAAAGGAGCUAAGGUCUCUGCAAAAGCCAGGAUUCACUCAGGAAUUAACGCCCCCGGUACAGUAUGAGUCCCAUCCUGUCUUGAUCACGGCUGUGCCCCAGGCCCCAGACAGAACCAGGAGUGUGGUAGGCGCUCCACAAACACACGAUGACCCAACGAAUGACUUCAUUCGGGGGAACUCAGCAGUGGAUCGCUCAGAGUCCUUAUCACCAACCAUAGGACUCUGUUUUUUUUUUUUUUUUUUUUGGUAGAAAUGAUGAAAAUGCUACAGGAUCCAAGGAGGGAGGGGCAGUCGUGGUGGGAUCACCAUCAGAGAAGGGCUUUGUGAACCCAGCAAAGGCAGAGUGAAAAGGCAGCCAGCCCAGGGGUCUGGCAGGAGCAAAGGCCUGGAGGUGAGAGGUGGACGUGGCUGAAUCUGGCCAGAAAGUACGGUGUGUGCAAGCAGAGGACUCUGGAGAGGUCAGAGGCAGCCAGGUUGUAAAGUGUGGGAUGAGGAGCUUCGCUGGACUUUAUCUCACGGGCAGUGGAGACCCACUGCAAGUUCCAAAGCAGAUUGAUAUGCUCAGAGGUGGUUUCUGGGAGACUGAUUCUGGAGGCUGGUAGGAGGGAAAGGAAGAGUCCAGCCUGGCUGGGGUGGCAUUGGUCCAGGCUGAGCUGAGGACCUCAGGCUGGGUGGUCAAGGGGAUGUGGGACCCUCCUGUGAGCCAGGGAGCCCUGGAGGAGGAGCAAGUUGGGGAAGUGGAGCUAUUCAGUGUGUCAACGCCAGCUCACCCGCAGGUGUGGACCAGCCUGUGCUGACGACACAGGAAGUAGAUUUCACACUGACAUUUACAACCCGAUCCUGUAAGUACUGGGCCUGGUGCCACAGCCCUGGGAAAACAGGCCUCAUAGCUUCAGAGAAAGGGCCUGGGAGACCUCUUCUGCUUCCUUCAUCUUCAUCCCGCCCCCACCCCCUAAGUGACUCUUUCUAUCCUACAAUGGGGCAGAUUUCUCCCCAUCCCUUCUGCCCUCUGACUCCUGAUUCUGCGGAGAGGACCACUCUGGUUACUAGGAUCACCAGAGCGGCAAUAAGACGGGGAAAACCGAGUGUCCCACCUACUCUGAGUUAGGAAAUCUAGCUGGUCACCAUGACCACCACCAGCAGCCUUAGAGUCUUCCCCAGUCAGGGCUUCAGACCCACAGAUGCACUCCUGGACAGAGUCCUGCAGGCCCCAGACAGACCUCCGGCUGGGAUGUGGGCAGUGGGAGCUGGGUCCUGGCUGUCUUGGGAGGGUGUCUUUGAGGGAACAUCUGAGGUUGGAGGAAGGGGCUUCCUGAUACAGGUCUGUGCUCUGAUCUGUGCCCAUCGAAGGGUCGCAUCUGAGGCGGGUCUGAGGACCCAGGUGAGAGUCUCUUUGAGACCAAUUUGAGAAGCCUGAGGUUUAUUUGCAAGUAUCUUUGAGGCCUGUUUGAAGGCCUAAGGACUGGGUUGGCCUGAGGGCCAGUAGCGUGAAACCAAUAAAAAUGUCCCAAGGCUAAGGCUGAUAUGACCCUUCUCCCUCCAUAUAACAAAGAGAGUAAAUCUGGCCAAGUUUGCAGCGGGUUCUUAUGGCCAGGGGGCUGGUGGAGAGGCUGUCUUUCCUUUGGUGAUGGAUGACGUUUACCCCAAACCACAAAACAGGUGGGCAGAGACCCCAUUCUAUCCCAACAACCAGCUGGCUGACCUCGACACAUCUGGCAAAGGCAAUACACUUCUUGAGGACCACACCACCUGCCCAUCUUCCGGGGGAGAGAGACACCAUGUGCCCUAUCUGAAAUGGGUUUUUAAGUAUGAAUAGUGGUUCACCUGGUGAGCAAGGUGAGAAGGACCAUAUCGACUGAGUGACACAGGUGAAGACACGGAAAUGUGAAACAGUUUUCUGUGGGCCAAGAGAACUACAUCGGUUUUCCUGGAGUCGAGAACUUGCAAGAGCUAGCGUACGAGUAUCACACAAAAUAAACUGAGAGAGAGCUCCUUGCAAACUGUUGAGUGCUACACAACAUGAGGCCUUGCUCUUACCACCCAUCUCUCUUGUUUAUCACGGGAACCGAAUGAGUCAGUGUGUGAAGUUGCAUUGUAAACUGGAAAGCAUGAAAAUGUUAAUUAAUAUAUUUAGAGAGCAGAGAAAUUAAGUGUGAGAAUGUGGAGAUGGAGUAGACAAUUAAAAUAUCUGCUAAUUUCUCUCUUGAAUUCACAUUUGAGGCAAUGUUUGUAAACUGAGAAUUAUAAUUACUUUUCUCCGUCACACCUCUUUUCAGAUGAAUACGCUGUGAGAGGAUUAUAGUAGCUAUUAAAAACACUGUCAAGUUCCUGGUAGAUCAGUUGGGACUCUUUAUAUAGCAAGUACCAGAAGACCCAGCACACACUGGCUUACCCAGUAAAAGGAAGGUGUAGUUUUUAUGUGAUGUGAAAGUGCAAAGGUAGCAUGAACUUCAAGAUGGGUUUGAUCCAGCAUUUGUUAAUCCUGAUGCUCAGGCUUGUUUCUCCAUGUUGGGUACCAACAGUUCCUAGGCUUCUUCCUCCAAAUGCUGGGAGAGAGAGAGGGGCGUCCCUUCAGCCAACCAUCCAACAGAGUUCCUGAGCUUCAUGUCUGAUUGGACUAACUUGGGUCAUGUAGAUGGGAAAUGCCAGGGUCUGUUUGGCAUAGGUCUGGAUCAAGUGUCCAUCCCUAAAACAAUCACUGUGGGACACGAGAAGGUAGAAUGGACCCCCACCAUACCUGGGCACUCAGGCGGACCACGGGGCUUCAGGCGUGCAGACCUGGAGUCAUGUUGGUUUCUGCCCUCAUUGCUGGUUCAGCGUCUAAACUCUCUCUUCCCUGUAUCUCCUCCUUUGCAGGCGUGAUACUGGUCCAGGUCUUGUCCCAUGACCCCACAUUUAUUUUUAUUUUUAUUUUGCGGUACGUGGGCCUCUCACUGUUGUGGCCUCUCCCGUUGCGGAGCACAGGCUCCGGACACGCAGGCUCAGCGGCCAUGGCUCACGGGCCCAGCCGCUCCGCGGCAUGUGGGAUCUUCCUGGACCGGGGCACGAACCCAUGUCCCCUGCAUCGGCAGGCGGACUCUCAACCACUGCGCCACCAGGGAAGCC
Long non-coding RNA from Orcinus orca (killer whale), 4827 nucleotides. RefSeq lists it as uncharacterized. The transcript has 3 exons. The record is from RefSeq and is a predicted model, not a curated record. NCBI's taxonomy places the organism in Eukaryota, Metazoa, Chordata, Mammalia, Artiodactyla, Delphinidae.